GUUUGGGUAGUUUAUUUAAAACAUUAAUUUGUGGGAUUAAAAAUACAUUAAAUGUUCCAAAUA
This 63-nucleotide transfer RNA is filed under the name Dielis tejensis. RNAcentral's name for it is "tRNA-His". Lineage: Eukaryota; Metazoa; Arthropoda; Insecta; Hymenoptera; Scoliidae. The record is from RNAcentral.